UGGGGAAUAUUGCACAAUGGGCGGAAGCCUGAUGCAGCGACGCCGCGUGGGGGAUGAAGGCCUUCGGGUUGUAAACUCCUUUCGACAGGGACGAAGCUUUUGUGACGGUACCUGUAUAAGAAGCACCGGCUAACUACGUGCCAGCAGCCGCGGUAAUACGUAGGGUGCGAGCGUUGUCCGGAAUUACUGGGCGUAAAGAGCUCGUAGGUGGUUUGUCGCGUCGUCUGUGAAAUUCCGGGGCUUAACUCCGGGCGUGCAGGCGAUACGGGCUGACUUGAGUGCUGUAGGGGAGACCGGAAUUCCUGGUGUAGCGGUGAAAUGCGCAGAUAUCAGGAGGAACACCGAUGGCGAAGGCAGGUCUCUGGGCAGUAACUGACGCUGAGGAGCGAAAGCAUGGGUAGCGAACAGGAUUAGAUACCCUGGUAGUCCAUGCCGUAAACGGUGGGCGCUAGGUGUAGGGGGCUUCCACGUCUUCUGUGCCGUAGCUAACGCAUUAAGCGCCCCGCCUGGGGAGUACGGCCGCAAGGCUA
RNAcentral lists this ribosomal RNA (530 nucleotides) under uncultured bacterium. Its description in RNAcentral is "bacterial SSU rRNA". It matches the Rfam family "Bacterial small subunit ribosomal RNA", at positions 355 to 896 of the family's 1533-position model. The record is from RNAcentral.